RNAcentral lists this ribosomal RNA (526 nucleotides) under uncultured soil bacterium. RNAcentral describes it as "bacterial SSU rRNA". It matches the Rfam family "Bacterial small subunit ribosomal RNA", at positions 26 to 528 of the family's 1533-position model. The record is from RNAcentral.
AGAUUGAACGCUGGCGGCAUGCCUUACACAUGCAAGUCGAACGGCAGCACGGGAGCAAUCCUGGUGGCGAGUGGCGAACGGGUGAGUAAUAUAUCGGAACGUGCCCAGUAAUGGGGGAUAGCCCGGCGAAAGCCGGAUUAAUACCGCAUACGACCUACGGGUGAAAGCGGGGGAUCGCAAGACCUCGCGUUAUUGGAGCGGCCGAUAUCAGAUUAGCUUGUUGGCGGGUAAAAGCCUACCAAGGCAACGAUCUGUAGCUGGUCUGAGAGGACGACCAGCCACACUGGGACUGAGACACGGCCCAGACUCCUACGGGAGCAGCAGGUGGGAAUUUGGACAAUGGGCGCAAGCCUGAUCCAGCCAUGCCGCGUGUGGGAAGAAGGCCUUCGGGUUAGUAAACCUACUUUUUGUACAGGGAACGAAACGGUCUACUUAACUAAUAAUUUAAGGAGUCUAAUGACGGUACCUGAAGAAUAAGUACACCGGUACUAACUACGUACGACCAGCCAAGCCGACGGUAACUCUA